Molecule: ribosomal RNA, 253 nt
Filed under: uncultured bacterium
Lineage: Bacteria
Description: partial 16S ribosomal RNA
Rfam family: Bacterial small subunit ribosomal RNA
Source: RNAcentral
UACGUAGGGUGCAAGCGUUGUCCGGAAUUAUUGGGCGUAAAGAGCUCGUAGGCGGUUUGUCGCGUCUGCUGUGAAAACUCGGGGCUUAACUCCGGGCCUGCAGUGGGUACGGGCAGACUAGAGUGCGGUAGGGGAGACUGGAAUUCCUGGUGUAGCGGUGAAAUGCGCAGAUAUCAGGAGGAACACCGGUGGCGAAGGCGGGUCUCUGGGCCGAUACUGACGCUCAUGCACGAAAGCGUGGGGAGCAAACAGG